Molecule: transfer RNA, 84 nt
Filed under: Microcaldota archaeon
Lineage: Archaea; Nanobdellati; Microcaldota
Description: Candidatus Micrarchaeota archaeon (hot springs metagenome) tRNA-Leu
Rfam family: tRNA
About the family: Transfer RNA (tRNA) molecules are approximately 80 nucleotides in length.
Source: RNAcentral
GCAGGGGUGCCGGAGCGGUCAAACGGGGCAGCCUCAAGAGCUGCUGGCUUAGGCCUCUCGUGAGUUCGAAUCUCACCCCCUGCA